AUUGAACGCUGGCGGCAUGCCUUACACAUGCAAGUCGAACGGCAGCACGGGAGCAAUCCUGGUGGCGAGUGGCGAACGGGUGAGUAAUACAUCGGAACGUGCCCAAUCGUGGGGGAUAACGCAGCGAAAGCUGUGCUAAUACCGCAUGAGAUCUACGGAUGAAAGCAGGGGACCGCAAGACCUUGCGCGAAUGGAGCGGC
This 200-nucleotide ribosomal RNA is filed under the name uncultured bacterium. Its description in RNAcentral is "partial 16S ribosomal RNA". It matches the Rfam family "Bacterial small subunit ribosomal RNA", at positions 30 to 230 of the family's 1533-position model. The record is from RNAcentral.